This 147-nucleotide transfer RNA is filed under the name Ostreococcus lucimarinus CCE9901. It matches the Rfam family "tRNA". Rfam says of the family: Transfer RNA (tRNA) molecules are approximately 80 nucleotides in length. Their secondary structure includes four short double-helical elements and three loops (D, anti-codon, and T loops). Further hydrogen bonds mediate the characteristic L-shaped molecular structure. tRNAs have two regions of fundamental functional importance: the anti-codon, which is responsible for specific mRNA codon recognition, and the 3' end, to which the tRNAs corresponding amino acid is attached (by aminoacyl-tRNA synthetases). tRNAs cope with the degeneracy of the genetic code in two manners: having more than one tRNA (with a specific anti-codon) for a particular amino acid; and 'wobble' base-pairing, i.e. permitting non-standard base-pairing at the 3rd anti-codon position. Lineage: Eukaryota; Viridiplantae; Chlorophyta; Mamiellophyceae; Mamiellales; Bathycoccaceae. The record is from Rfam by way of RNAcentral.
GGUCUUAUAGUGUAGUUGGUUAUCACUCUGGACUUUGAAUUCACACGCAAAGUGUCCAUACGCGAGCGCCGGUCGAACGGCGCGCUCUCGCCCUCGGAUUGCGCACGCAGUAAUCCAGCGACUCUGGUUCGAAUCCAGGUAGGACCU